GUCGAACGAGAGACCUUCGGGUCUCUAGUGGCGAACGGGUGAGUAACACGUAGGGAACCUGCCCGCGCACCGGGAAUACGCUCUGGAAACGGAGAACAAAUCCCGAUGUACAGGAAGGAGGCAUCUUCUUUCUGUGAAACAUCCUUUAGGGGAUGGGGCGCGGAUGGACCUGCGGUGCAUUAGUUGGUUGGCGGGGUAAAGGCCCACCAAGACGAUGAUGCAUAGCCGGCCUGAGAGGGCGGACGGCCACAUUGGGACUGAGACACGGCCCAGACUCCUGCGGGAGGCAGCAGUAGGGAAUUUUCGUCAAUGGGCGCAAGCCUGAACGAGCGAUGCCGCGUGAGUGAAGAAGGCCUUCGGGUCGUAAAGCUCUGUUGCGGGGGAAAAAAGGCAGCAUCAGGAAAUGGGUGCUGACUGAUGGUGCCCCGCCAGAAAGUCACGGCUAACUACGUGCCAGCAGCCGCGGUAAUACGUAGGUGGCGAGCGUUAUCCGGAAUGAUUGGGCGUAAAGGGUGCGCAGGCGGUCCUGCAAGUCUGGAGUGAAACGCAUGAGCUCAACUCAUGCAUGGCUUUGGAAACUGGAGGACUGGAGAGCAGGAGAGGGCGGUGGAACUCCAUGUGUAGCGGUAAAAUGCGUAGAUAUAUGGAAGAACGCCAGUGGCGAAGGCGGCCGCCUGGCCUGUUGCUGACGCUGAGGCACGAAAGCGUGGGGAGCAAAUAGGAUUAGAUACCCUAGUAGUCCACGCCGUANACGAUGAGGACCAAGUGUUGGGGGUGANACCUCAGUGCUGAAGUUAACGCAGUGAGU
Molecule: ribosomal RNA, 808 nt
Filed under: uncultured bacterium
Lineage: Bacteria
Description: bacterial SSU rRNA
Rfam family: Bacterial small subunit ribosomal RNA
Source: RNAcentral